Molecule: long non-coding RNA, 513 nt
Organism: Hylaeus anthracinus
Lineage: Eukaryota; Metazoa; Arthropoda; Insecta; Hymenoptera; Colletidae
Exons: 3
Source: RefSeq, a predicted model, not a curated record
CAAAAAAUGGCAAAGAAGAAAGAUAACUGGUUCGAAAAGCACUACACCUGUAGGCCUUUAAAUUUUUUUGAGAUGCAGCAGUGCAUAUGCAAUUAACAAUUGCAUCAUUUCUUUAGGGUCAUUACACGCGAAAUCAGGCACUAAGUGGAGCAGCAUGUCAGAUUUUGUGCGAGUUUUGAAUGAAAGAAAAUAUAAUAUUAAAAUGGGAUAAUAUAUACGUGUGACAAAAUCGAUUUGGAGAUAAAGAUUGCUUUGGCUUGUGUGCAUUCGAGUAAAGUAAAAAAACGACAUUAAAAAUUCGUCCCUCAAGAAGUUAAACUAAUGGAAUCUACACUUUUGAAAAAAUUUAAAAAUGAGAUUAUGUCAACGAUGUUUAUUUGUCUAGAUAUAAAAUGUGUAAUAAAUUAUUAAUGCAAGCGAAGCUAUUUAACGUACCUGUUCAACAUUUGUUUGUGUAUAAAGAAGUAGUAUUCCCCACGAAACUGGCUAGGCAAGUUGUAUUUAGUGCUUGGC